RNAcentral lists this long non-coding RNA (223 nucleotides) under Elaeis guineensis (African oil palm). RNAcentral's name for it is "long non-coding RNA (EGUI_LNC015468)". The record is from RNAcentral. Lineage: Eukaryota; Viridiplantae; Streptophyta; Magnoliopsida; Arecales; Arecaceae.
CCGGGGUGGUGAGGAUCGUGGCCUUGACGCCACGGGCGGCGAAGAGUUUGGCCAUGUCGACCAUAGGGAUCAUGUGGCCGGGGGCCAAGAGAGGGAAGAAGAGGAUGUGGAGUUCUUCAGAGGCUGAGCCCAUGGUGCUUGUUAGGAGAAGGGGCAAGGAAUGGAGGGGAAGAUUGCCACGCAAUUUGAGGAAGAAGGACCAAGUACCUGUGGCCAGUCUUCC